RNAcentral lists this ribosomal RNA (253 nucleotides) under uncultured bacterium. Its description in RNAcentral is "partial 16S ribosomal RNA". It matches the Rfam family "Bacterial small subunit ribosomal RNA", at positions 524 to 776 of the family's 1533-position model. The record is from RNAcentral.
GACGUAGGGUGCGAGCGUUGUCCGGAUUUAUUGGGCGUAAAGAGCUCGUAGGCGGCUCGUCGCGUCAGCUGUGAAAACCCGCAGCUUAACUGUGGGCUUGCAGCUGAUACGGGCGGGCUAGAGUUCGGUAGGGGAGACUGGAAUUCCUGGUGUAGCGGAGAAAUGCGCAGAUAUCAGGAGGAACACCGGUGGCGAAGGCGGGUCUCUGGGCCGAUACUGACGCUGAGGAGCGAAAGCGUGGGGAGCGAACAGG